CCGGUUCUGACGAUCAAAUCGAGGUUGGCGCACGCGCACACCUCUCAUUUUCUUCUAAGAAUUUUGGAGAUUAUGGUCCAGGUGCCUCAGUGUUAAGGGCCUAAAGACGUUGGGAAAAACCCAUCAGAAUGCACACAUAUCCCAUGGUUGCAGCAGAUGGACGACUUCUUCCAGAAAGUGGGGAUGGAGCAGUGGGCUGCCACUCAGGACCCGCAGCAGUUACAUAGGGUGGUGACAACCUGAGGCACGAGAGAGGUGCUUGAAAUGAGAUGUAGGUAUCCAUAAAAAUGUACUGUGGUAUAUUCUGUGGCGUUAUGCAGGCUGUUCCAGCGAGGCUGAGCCUGCAGUGGCUCUGUUCUUUCCUGUAGUGUCUGCUAGAGCACGGUGAGGCUGUUUGAGGCCCUGCUGUGACCCAUCAUGUGCAGGGUUAUAGGUAAACCUCAGACAUUUUCAUCUGGCAUUGCAAGGCAGAUGACACAUUGUCACCUUGAGAUUGAGUUGUAUUCUUUAUUUACAGGGAUGGAGAAACUCCCCCACUGUUAAGAGGGUUUUUAAUACUGUUGAGUACAAAUGUACAGUUAACACGAUGAACUGUGCAGCAGAGCACAAAACAAAUGGUUUUGUGCAUCGCCUCAGCUGUCAUUAAUCCUUGGUAAGAUGAGCAGAGGCCCAGAAGAUGGAUUUGGCCUCAGGUUGUCUUACAACGUGCGGGAUAUCAACAUGGUGCAUUGUUAGAAGAACAACGGACGGAGUUCUCUGUGGGUGACUCUUCGCACGAUGAGGAACGAAGUUCCAACAGCAACAGGAACCGUGAAGGGACUUCUGCUGCACAUCCAUCAGGGUCACAUGCGUUGCUGUUUGAAAUUAAUUGCCCCUGGUGGGAUGAAUAAAGUUGUCUAAAUCUAA
Thalassophryne amazonica is the source of this 906-nucleotide long non-coding RNA. RefSeq lists it as uncharacterized. The transcript has 3 exons. The record is from RefSeq and is a predicted model, not a curated record. NCBI's taxonomy places the organism in Eukaryota, Metazoa, Chordata, Actinopteri, Batrachoidiformes, Batrachoididae.